Molecule: ribosomal RNA, 870 nt
Filed under: uncultured bacterium
Lineage: Bacteria
Description: bacterial SSU rRNA
Rfam family: Bacterial small subunit ribosomal RNA
Source: RNAcentral
GGCUUAGAGUUUGAUCAUGGCUCAGGACGAACGCUGGCGGCGUGCUUAACACAUGCAAGUCGAACGGGGUGUUUAUUUCGGUAAACACCAAGUGGCGAACGGGUGAGUGACGCGUAAGCAAUCUACCUUCAAGAUGGGGACAACACUUCGAAAGGGGUGCUAAUACCGAAUGAAUGUAAGAGUAUCGCAUGAGACACUUACUAAAGGAGGCCUAUGAAUAUGCUUCCGCUUGAAGAUGAGCUUGCGUCUGAUUAGCUAGUUGGUGAGGGUAAAGGCCCACCAAGGCGACGAUCAGUAGCCGGUCUGAGAGGAUGAACGGCCACAUUGGGACUGAGACACGGCCCAGACUCCUACGGGAGGCAGCAGUGGGGAAUCUUCCGCAAUGGGCGAAAGCCUGACGGAGCAACGCCGCGUGAACGAUGAAGGUCUUAGGAUCGUAAAGUUCUGUUGUUAGGGACGAAGGGUAAGAAUCAUAAUACGGUUUUUAUUUGACGGUACCUAACGAGGAAGCCACGGCUAACUACGUGCCAGCAGCCGCGGUAAUACGUAGGCGGCAAGCGUUGUCCGGAAUUAUUGGGCGUAAAGGGAGCGCAGGCGGGAAACUGAGCGGAUCUUAAAAGUGCGGGGCUCAACCCCGUGAGGGGGUCCGAACUGGUUUUCUUGAGUGCAGGAGAGGAAAGCGGAAUUUCUCAGUGUAGCGGUGAAAUGCGUAGAUAUUGGGAAGAACACCAGUGGCGAAGGCGGCUUUCUGGACUGUAACUGACGCUGAGCUCGAAAGCUAGGGUAGCGAACGGGAUUAGAUACCCCGGUAGUCCUAGCCGUAAACGAUGGAUACUAGUGUGGGGAGGUAUCGACUCCUUCCGUGCNGAG